Molecule: long non-coding RNA, 2355 nt
Organism: Pangasianodon hypophthalmus (striped catfish)
Lineage: Eukaryota; Metazoa; Chordata; Actinopteri; Siluriformes; Pangasiidae
Exons: 3
Source: RefSeq, a predicted model, not a curated record
UGCUGCCGCCUGCUGUCCUGGAGUCAAAAUGACCAACAGUUUGUGGACACCUGGCUAUCAGACCCAUUUGUGCUUGUUGAACAUCCCAGGCCAGAUUCAGGGCCCCUUUGCUGUUGUAAUAAGCGCCACUCUUCGCCUGGAGUUUGGAGCAUGACUGUGGAGAUUUGUUCCCAUUUAGCCACAGGAGCGUGAGUGAGGUCAGGCGCAGAUGGGUGGCGAGGAGGCCUGGUGUUCAGUGGGUUUGAGAUCAGGAUUCUUCAGAUCUUCCACUCCAUGUCUUCCACAGGCACAUUGUCAUGAUUGUCAUGCUGGAACAUGUGUGGAAAUUGUAAUGCUACAGCAUACACAGCCAUUCUACACAAUUGUGCGCUGCAAACUUUGUGGCAACAGUUUGAGGAAGAGCCACAGAUGGGUGUGAUGGUGAGAUACGUACAGAACUGAAAUGAAUCACGACUGGCCUGCUACUAUAAAAGGUCUUCUCCAAGCUGAAAAUUAAUAAAAGGACAUUGACGUAGCAGGUUCUCGGCAGGGAAUUGAGAAGAUCUACGUGUGCGAGCCAAGUUGAGGGAACGGAUGCCAGUGAACCCCCAGGAGAUGUUGGACUGGUAAUCGAAGGUGUAAAGGUUCUUCAGGACAUUGUGCCUUUUGGAUUGGUUCAUGCAUUAAACUUGAGCUACUCUCUUCAACUCAGAUACACAUUAGAAGUAGUACAAAAACUAAUUCUGGAGCUAGAUCUCAUAAAGCACAAGCUUCGAUGAUCUGUGACUUUAAAUGGUUAGGCGUGUUAAAUACUGAACAUAGCUUUGCAGCAUGUUAGAUACUGAGCAGACAUUUUUUUUUUGAUAAGUGGGGGUGCUGAUUUAUUUUCACAUUUAUAAUGCAAUCUGUUUAAAGCUCCAUAUGCAUUUUCUCGACUUUUUAGACUUAAUUUACUGUGCUUUUGACAUAGGCUUACUGUACUUCCUCUUGUUUUAUCUUUACAUACAAGAAUACUGAUGCCUGCUCAAUAUUAAGCAUGCCUGCAUGUUACUUUUACCUUCCACCAUUACGUAAAGUUCUGUUAAAUGCAUGCACAUUUUUCAAACCUGUAGCUAGUUUCAUUUUUUUCAUACGCAGGUAGUGAGAGGCAAUAUUUUGAAAGUAUUUCAGUUAGUGUCUGGUGUAUGGUUUAAGUUUUCUAUGCACAUACUUUAUAGCGGCAAUAUUUAGGUCAAUGUAUACAAUAUAGGUCAUUUGUUAAAUGUUUUGUCUAUAUUUUCUUUAUUUCUCUACUGUGUCACACAAAAACAACUGAAGUGACAUACUGAUAAACUAAAAUGUCUGUUCUAGUAACUUGAUCAGAUCGAGUAGAACCACUGUCCACAAUUUUAUUUUAUAAAUCUACUGAAAGUACAGUGGGGUCCAAAAGUCUGAGACCAUACUGACAACAUUUUUUGCAUUUAAAGAAAAUUUUAGAAACAUAAAGAUAUUUUAGAAGAUAUUCAAGAUUCUGCACUGUUCUAGGUCUCUAUUUAAAUGUAAGCAAAUUUGUGAUAUUGAAGAGAAAGGUUAGAAUUUCUUCAUGUCUGAUCUCCUCUAAUGAAGCAUGCGUUCAGAUGACACUCCGAUGGAUUUGAUCUAAAAUGGGCGUACCGAAUACUAAGAAACUCUACUUUUCACUCAUGUUGUUGUCAAUAAUAUAAUUUGUAAUGAAAAUUGAUGUAUUAAGUUAGAAAAGAAUGCAAAAUACAAGCAUUUUCACUAGUGCUCUCAGACUUUUGGACACCUCUGUAUAUGCAGCUGGUUAAACACAUGUAAAACUAGCCAAAUGUAAACAAACCAUAAAAAUUAAAUAGGAAUUAAAUACCAAUUAAUUUAUGUGUUCAGAGAACACAUAUUUACAUGUGUUUAUAUAAUUUAUAUGUUCAGAGAACCAUCAGAGAAAAGAAUCUGUUAACAUGGCGUCACUGGUUUGGGGUUCUGAGGGAGAAGAGUUCAGCUUGAAUAGGCUAUAGAACGUUAAAGGCUUUAUUACUAUGAUUAAAUGCUUAACGCUUGUUGAAUUUGUAAAUCCCACUUGUAAAUCAGGCCCCAUGUGGUGUCACAAGCCACAGUUUGGGAAUUCCUGAGCAAAAGCAAUGGCGUUGUGAUGAAAUUUCACAGGGCAUCACACUAUUAAAUAGCUGCGUGUCACUUUAAGCAUGUUCAAUUUCACCUUAAGCACAUUGCUCACUACAUACUCACUGUUAUACUGUACUGCUCCUUUGACUGUACAUAUUCAAACUGGUGUUAUACUAUAUCAUGGCAAGGAGAAAUCACACAGAUGUUUCCCCCAGCUGUCACAAGCUGCAUUAAGCUGAUCAGCUUCCUCUGUCA